ACAUAUAUUAGCACCUGUUACAUACAGUACAUCAUGUGUUUAGUGGAAUUUCAUGUGCUUAAAGACAGCAAGAUUUCUGUCCUGUAAUUCGAGUACUAUGCUUGGGGGGACAGCAACAUUUCUCUAUAUAUCGUGUACUAACAUUUGUCUGAUCAUGAUAUGUGCAGUUAGAUCCUUCGAGAGCAAUGGGAGGAGGCAAUGAUGGUCAUGGGUACCCACCCGGUGGCCAGGGGGGAUACCCUCCGGCAGGGUACCCGCCGCAGCAGGGAGGUUACCCUCCACAGCAAGGAGGUUACCCUCCACAGCAAGGAUACCCGCCUGCACCUGGAGCUUACCCACCUGCACCUGGGGCAUACCCUCCUGCACCUGGGGCGUACCCUCCUGCACCUGGAGCGGGAGGCCCUGACGGGGAGAAGGGGCUCCUCUCCAACAUCAUGCAUGGUGUUGCCGGUGCUCAUGGUGGUGGUCAUGGCUACCCAUCUGGUGGCCACGGGUACCCCCCGCAGCAGCAUGGAUACCCUCAGCAAGGCUACC
Molecule: long non-coding RNA, 534 nt
Filed under: Triticum aestivum (bread wheat)
Lineage: Eukaryota; Viridiplantae; Streptophyta; Magnoliopsida; Poales; Poaceae
Description: long non-coding RNA (TAES_LNC000653)
Source: RNAcentral